UACGUGAGCCCCGAGCGUUAUCCGGAAUUAUUGGGCGUAAAGGGUGUGUAGGUGGUUAUAUUAGUCGUGGGUGAAAUACCGGAGCUUAACUCCGGGAACGCUUACGAAACGGUAUAUCUAGAAUGUGUCAGAGGCAUGUGGAACUCUCGGUGUAGGGGUGAAAUCCGUUGAUAUCGAGGGGAACACCAAAAGCGAAGGCAGCAUGCUGGGACAUUAUUGACACUGAAACACGAAACCCUGGGUAGCGAAUGGG
RNAcentral lists this ribosomal RNA (253 nucleotides) under uncultured bacterium. RNAcentral's name for it is "partial 16S ribosomal RNA". It matches the Rfam family "Bacterial small subunit ribosomal RNA", at positions 524 to 776 of the family's 1533-position model. The record is from RNAcentral.